AGUGGCGGACGGGUGAGUAACGCGUGAGAAUCUGCCUUGGGGUCGGGGACAACCACUGGAAACGGUGGCUAAUACCGGAUAAGCCGAUUGGUGAAAGAUUUAUUGCCCGAAGAGGAGCUCGCGUCUGAUUAGCUAGUUGGUGAGGUAAGAGCUCACCAAGGCAGCGAUCAGUAGCUGGUCUGAGAGGACGAUCAGCCACACUGGGACUGAGACACGGCCCAGACUCCUACGGGAGGCAGCAGUGGGGAAUUUUCCGCAAUGGGCGAAAGCCUGACGGAGCAAGACCGCGUGAGGGAGGAAGGCUCUUGGGUUGUAAACCUCUUUUCUCAGGGAAGAAGCUCUGACGGUACCUGAGGAAUCAGUCUCGGCUAACUCCGUGCCAGCAGCCGCGGUAAUACGGAGGAGGCAAGCGUUAUCCGGAAUUAUUGGGCGUAAAGCGUCCGCAGGUGGCGAUUCAAGUCUGCUGUCAAAGCACGGGGCUUAACUCCGUAAAGGCAGUGGAAACUGAAUAGCUAGAGUGCCGUAGGGGUAGAGGGAAUUCCCGGUGUAGCGGUGAAAUGCGUAGAGAUCGGGAAGAACAUCGGUGGCGAAAGCGCUCUACUGGACGGCAACUGACACUCAGGGACGAAAGCUAGGGGAGCGAAUGGGAUUAGAUACCCU
This 660-nucleotide ribosomal RNA is filed under the name uncultured bacterium. RNAcentral describes it as "bacterial SSU rRNA". It matches the Rfam family "Bacterial small subunit ribosomal RNA", at positions 94 to 788 of the family's 1533-position model. The record is from RNAcentral.